This 265-nucleotide ribosomal RNA is filed under the name uncultured bacterium. RNAcentral's name for it is "partial 16S ribosomal RNA". It matches the Rfam family "Bacterial small subunit ribosomal RNA", at positions 793 to 1055 of the family's 1533-position model. The record is from RNAcentral.
GUCCACGCCCUAAACGAUGUCAACUGGUUGUUGGGGAAUUCAUUUCCUUAGUAACGAAGCUAACGCGUGAAGUUGACCGCCUGGGGAGUACGGUCGCAAGAUUAAAACUCAAAGGAAUUGACGGGGGCCCGCACAAGCGGUGGAUGAUGUGGUUUAAUUCGAUGCAACGCGAAAAACCUUACCUACCCUUGACAUGUCCUGAACCCUGCUGAAAGGCGGGGGUGCCCGAAAGGGAACGGGAACACAGGUGCUGCAUGGCUGUCGU